UACGUAGGUGGCAAGCGUUGUCCGGAUUUAUUGGGUUUAAAGGGUGCGUAGGCGGUCCUAUAAGUCAGUGCUGAAAUAUCCCGGCUUAACCGGGAGGGUGGCAUUGAUACUGCAGGACUUGAGUAGAGUUGAGGUUGGCGGAAUUGACGGUGUAGCGGUGAAAUGCUUAGAUAUCGUCAAGAACACCGAUAGUGAAGACAGCUAACUAAGCUCUAACUGACGCUGAGGCACGAAAGCGUGGGGAGCAAACAGG
RNAcentral lists this ribosomal RNA (253 nucleotides) under uncultured bacterium. RNAcentral describes it as "partial 16S ribosomal RNA". It matches the Rfam family "Bacterial small subunit ribosomal RNA", at positions 524 to 776 of the family's 1533-position model. The record is from RNAcentral.